This 407-nucleotide ribosomal RNA is filed under the name Accumulibacter sp. RNAcentral describes it as "bacterial SSU rRNA". It matches the Rfam family "Bacterial small subunit ribosomal RNA", at positions 1 to 408 of the family's 1533-position model. The record is from RNAcentral. Lineage: Bacteria; Pseudomonadati; Pseudomonadota; Betaproteobacteria.
GAACUGAAGAGUUUGAUCCUGGCUCAGAUUGAACGCUGGCGGCAUGCCUUACACAUGCAAGUCGAACGGCAGCAUAGGUGCUUGCACCUGAUGGCGAGUGGCGAACGGGUGAGUAAAACAUCGGAACGUACCUGCGAGAGGGGGAUACCGUAGCGAAAGUUACGCUAAUACCGCAUAAACUGUGAGCAGAAAAGAGGGGGAUCGCAAGACCUCUCGCUCGCGGAGCGGCCGAUGUCGGAUUAGCUAGUUGGUGAGGUAAAAGCCCACCAAGGCGACGAUCCGUAGCGGGUCUGAGAGGACGAUCCGCCACACUGGGACUGAGACACGGCCCAGACUCCUACGGGAGGCAGCAGUGGGGAAUUUUGGACAAUGGGGGCAACCCUGAUCCAGCCAUGCCGCGUGAGUGA